Long non-coding RNA from Sciurus carolinensis (gray squirrel), 1102 nucleotides. RefSeq lists it as uncharacterized. The record is from RefSeq and is a predicted model, not a curated record. NCBI's taxonomy places the organism in Eukaryota, Metazoa, Chordata, Mammalia, Rodentia, Sciuridae. The transcript has 4 exons.
AGUGGCUCCUAGCAACAGUGAGGCCAGCUUGCCCAGGCAGCAGGACGCACAUCUUUCCUGGAGGGUCCUGGCAUGGCCAUGCCCCCACGGACAAGAGCUGGGCGCCAUCGUGCACCCUGUGGAAAGAGAUGGAGCCCAGGACACAGCGGGCAUGCAGCUCGCCUGAGGCCACCUCGUUCUUCAGUCUGGAAACCAGAUCCACCCCUGGCUUAGCACGGUCCCCAGCCCCAUGUGAGGGCCGGCCAGAGUCCUGGGAAGGGGACCCAGGGCCAGGCGGGCACUUGCCUGCAAGAGCUCUGUCACCGAGCUGCUCGCCAGGCCUGUGCCACCGGACUUCUGAGAGCACCCCUGCCAGUGCCACCUGGCUUCGAACCCCCAGCAACUCUGCCUAGGGGAGCUCGGGGUCACAGUGUAUUCCCUCCCGGGGCCUCACAGGAUGUCCAGGACCCCAGGAGGAGGAGGGCCCAGCGGCCAGCUCCCACAGAGUGAGGUCACCUGCUGGCCGCUGGGCCCCGGCGCCCUGUGCCUCACCUGGCCCUCCUCCUCCCGGUCCCUCCACCGACUCUUCCUCCCGCUUCUACCCUGGCCGUGGGCUGAGGACACAGCGAGCCUGUGUGUGCCCUGAGCAGCCCACCUGCAAGGGCAGCCGGCAACCCAGGGCUGAGCCGGUCCUGGCCCUGACUCAUCAGUACACAGCCUGCCCGGGGUACAGUACCUGAGGCCCGGCCGCGCCGCCCUUCCUCCUGGCUGUCCCUGCUCAGCAGGGCCCUGCCCUGCCCUGCCGUUACAAAAUGUCCAAGGCAGGCCAGCCUCCAGGGCGGGGCACCCUUGGCCUCGCGCCUGCCUGGCUCCAGGCCAGCUGGAGGCUGUAAAGCAAGAUUUUACCGCCACUUCCUCCAGAGGCCUCUAGUCCUUUCCUGAACCCCGGAGGAGCUACCCAGCAAGGGCAGCACCAGGCCACGCCGUCUGUGGAUUCCGAGCCACAGGGCCCAGCCUCAGGUGAACCCAGGGCAGCGGACCUGGGAAUCAUGAUGCGAGACGGGGCCCAGAAAGAUCCUGUCCACCCGCCUCAGCCUCCCCUUCUCUGAGCCUCUGUUUCCCU